Molecule: ribosomal RNA, 620 nt
Filed under: Salmonella enterica
Lineage: Bacteria; Pseudomonadati; Pseudomonadota; Gammaproteobacteria; Enterobacterales; Enterobacteriaceae
Description: partial 23S ribosomal RNA
Rfam family: Bacterial large subunit ribosomal RNA
Source: RNAcentral
AAGUGUGGACGCCAGUCUGCAUGGAGCCGACCUUGAAAUACCACCCUUUAAUGUUUGAUGUUCUAACGUGGACCCGUGAUCCGGGUUGCGGACAGUGUCUGGUGGGUAGUUUGACUGGGGCGGUCUCCUCCUAAAGAGUAACGGAGGAGCACGAAGGUUGGCUAAUCCUGGUCGGACAUCAGGAGGUUAGUGCAAUGGCAUAAGCCAGCUUGACUGCGAGCGUGACGGCGCGAGCAGGUGCGAAAGCAGGUCAUAGUGAUCCGGUGGUUCUGAAUGGAAGGGCCAUCGCUCAACGGAUAAAAGGUACUCCGGGGAUAACAGGCUGAUACCGCCCAAGAGUUCAUAUCGACGGCGGUGUUUGGCACCUCGAUGUCGGCUCAUCACAUCCUGGGGCUGAAGUAGGUCCCAAGGGUAUGGCUGUUCGCCAUUUAAAGUGGUACGCGAGCUGGGUUUAGAACGUCGUGAGACAGUUCGGUCCCUAUCUGCCGUGGGCGCUGGAGAACUGAGGGGGGCUGCUCCUAGUACGAGAGGACCGGAGUGGACGCAUCACUGGUGUUCGGGUUGUCAUGCCAAUGGCACUGCCCGGUAGCUAAAUGCGGAAGAGAUAAGUGCUGAAAGCA